GGGGAAAAAUUAAUAAAUUAGUUAUAAUAAAAUAAUUUUUAAUAAAAUAUAUUUAAUGGGGGUUAAAGUAUAUUUUUAUGAAAAAAUUAAAAAUUUUAUAGUAAAUUAGUAUUGUAAAAGAAAUUUGAAAUAUGUGAAAAUAAAAUUCAUUUAGAAGUAAAUUUUAUUUAUUGUAUCUUGUGUAUCAGAGUUUAUUAAAAAUUAUUUUUAAGAAAAAAUUUCUCGAAUUUAAAAGAGUUAAUUAUUUAUUAAAGUUAAUGUAGUAUAAUUAUUUUUAAUAAAUAAUUGGAAAUGAAAUGUUAAUCGUUUUUAAAUAUAUCUAGUUUUUUUAGAAAAAAAUUUAAUUUUAAAUGUAAAUAAAAAAAAAAUUAUUUUUAAAAUAUUUUUUUUUUACAUUAAAUAUUUUAAGGGAUAAGCUUUAAAAUAAAGUUUUAUAAUAAAAUUAAUUAAUAUAAAAUUUUUAAAAUUUAUAUUGUUUAUAAAUUAUAAUUUNNNNNNNNNNNNNNNNNNNNNNNNNNNNNNNNNNNNNNNNNNNNNNNNNNNNNNNNNNNNNNNNNAUUUUUAAUAAAAUAAAAUUAAUUAUAAUGAUAAAAUUAGUAUAUAAUUAAAUUAAUAAUUAAAAGAUUAUAAAAAUUUAAUAAAAGGAAUUCGGCAAAUUUUUAUAUUCACUUGUUUAUCAAAAACAUGUCUUUUUGGGUUUAAUUUAAAGUCUGGUCUGCCCACUGAUUAAUAGAAAUUAAAGGGCUGCAGUAUUUUGACUGUACAAAGGUAGCAUAAUCAUUAGUCUCUUAAUUGGUGACUUGUAUGAAAGAUUUGAUGAAAUAUAAACUGUCUCUUAUUAAUUUAUAGAAUUUAAUUUUUUAGUAAAAAAGCUAAAAUAAUUUUAAAAGACGAGAAGACCCUAUAGAGUUUUAUAAUAAGUUUAAUUAAAUUUUUAUUUAUAAAUAUUUUAUUUUUAAUAAAAUUUAUUAUUUUAUUGGGGUGAUAGAAAAAUUUAAUAAACUUUUUUUAAAAAAAAAAUACAUUUAUAAAUGAUUACAUGAUCCGUUAUUAACGAUUAUAAGAAUAAAUUACCUUAGGGAUAACAGCGUAAUUUUUUUUUUUAGUUCAAAUAAAAAAAAAAGUUUGCGACCUCGAUGUUGGAUUAAGAUAAAAUUUAAAUGCAAAAGUUUAAAAUUUUGAUCUGUUCGAUCAUUAAAAUCUUACAUGAUCUGAGUUCAAACCGGUGUAAGCCAGGUUGGUUUCUAUCUUUAGAAAAUAAAAAUGUUUUAGUACGAAAGGAUCAAAUAUUUAAAAUAAUUUUAAAAAAAGAAUAAUAAUAAUAAAUAAUUGUUUACUAUUUUGACAGAUAAAUGUGAU
This 1359-nucleotide ribosomal RNA is filed under the name Graphium androcles. RNAcentral's name for it is "16S ribosomal RNA". Lineage: Eukaryota; Metazoa; Arthropoda; Insecta; Lepidoptera; Papilionidae. The record is from RNAcentral.